UACGAAGGGUGCAAGCGUUAUUCGGAAUUACUGGGCGUAAAGCGUGCGUAGGCGGUGAGUUAAGUCUGUCGUGAAAGCCCCGGGCUCAACCUGGGAAUGGCGAUGGAUACUGGCUCGCUAGAGUGCGGUAGAGGAGAGUGGAAUUCCCGGUGUAGCAGUGAAAUGCGUAGAGAUCGGGAGGAACACCAGCGGCGAAGGCGGCUAUCUGGACAGAUAUUGACGCUGAGGUGCGAAAGCGUGGGGAGCAAACAGG
Molecule: ribosomal RNA, 253 nt
Filed under: uncultured bacterium
Lineage: Bacteria
Description: partial 16S ribosomal RNA
Rfam family: Bacterial small subunit ribosomal RNA
Source: RNAcentral